AUUGAACGCUGGCGGAAUGCUUUACACGUGCAAGUCGAACGGCAGCACGGACUUCGGUCUGGUGGCGAGUGGCGAACGGGUGAGUAAUGUAUCGGAACGUGCCCAGUCGUGGGGGAUAACGUAGUGAAAAUUACGCUAAUACCGCAUACGAUCUAUGGAUGAAAGCGGGGGAUCGCAUGACCUCGCGCGAUUGGAGCGGCCGAUAUCAGAUUAGGUAGUUGGUGGGGUAAAGGCCCACCAAGCCAACGAUCUGUAGCUGGUCUGAGAGGACGACCAGCCACACUGGAACUGGGAAACGGUCCAGACUCCUACGGGAGGCAGCAGUGGGGAAUUUUGGACAAUGGGCGAAAGCCUGAUCCAGCCAUUCCGCGUGCAGGAUGAAGGCCCUCGGGUUGUAAACUGCUUUUGUACAGAACGAAAAGGUUUCUACUAAUACUAGGAGCUCAUGACGGUACUGUAAGAAUAAGCACCGGCUAACUACGUGCCAGCCGCCGCCGUAA
RNAcentral lists this ribosomal RNA (500 nucleotides) under uncultured bacterium. RNAcentral describes it as "partial 16S ribosomal RNA". It matches the Rfam family "Bacterial small subunit ribosomal RNA", at positions 30 to 523 of the family's 1533-position model. The record is from RNAcentral.